RNA transcript from Ziziphus jujuba (common jujube), 1820 nucleotides. It is a transcript of the gene named phosphatidylinositol 4-kinase gamma 4-like, with no coding region annotated. Lineage: Eukaryota; Viridiplantae; Streptophyta; Magnoliopsida; Rosales; Rhamnaceae. The record is from RefSeq and is a predicted model, not a curated record. The transcript is spliced from 2 exons.
CGUCCAACAACUAAGAAAAUAGUUUAAGACGUUCAAGAAAAUCCUUCGAAGUUAGUUCAAGCAAAACAUUGAUAACCUCCAACAAUGAACGACAAGGACUCAAAAAAUCAGACUUCCUCCAAGCACAACAUGAAGUUCAAGUUCCAACCUCCAACCUCCAACAGAAUAGGAUGAUGAGAAGAAAACGGUACCAAUAAUUCAUUGUCACUAUCAAUCUUUCUUCUAUAUCUUUAAAAGGAUUCAUAUCAGUUCUGUUUUUAAAUUUUAUAAGAAAACGGUACCAAUAAUUCAUUAUCACUAUCAAUCUUUCUUCUAUAUCUUUAAAAGGUUCCAUAUCAGUUCCGUUUUUAAAUUUUAUAUAAUUCAUUGUCAGAAAUUUUUUACCUUGGAUACUGGGUCAAAAUAUGUUUAUAAAAGUCCAUUGUCAGUCCUGUCUUUCAAGUUUUUAUAAUUCAUUGUCGGAUUGAUGAAUUUUCUAUCUUGGAAUCUGGGUCUCAAGCACGACCUUCACAAACUCUGACAAUGGAGUGCGAGGAAAAGAACAAGGUGUAGACAAAAUUCAUUCUCACUAUCAAUCUUUAUUUUAUAUGUUUAUAAAAAUUCAUCAAUUAUCUACUUUGGAAUCUGGAUCUCAUAAAGAUAAAAUUAUUAUUAUUAUUAUUUUUCAUUGAAACCAAUAGAACUGUGUUACUGUAACCUCUAUACAUUUCUCAACUUUCAGAACUGUGUUCGACAUAUGAUAAGUGGAACUCUGUUAAGAAAAUAGGAGAGAAUGAUUUAUUACAGACUCUUGUCAUAUUUCAAUCGUAUAAUGGCACAGCCAUCGGUUUGAGGGUAAAACCUCCGGUUCUGGUUGCGGAGGGAACAAGGGGCGUCUACUUUUCUGUGUUUAAACCUGUAUAUGAAGAACCAACCAGUUUCAAUAAUCCACGGGGUCAUACCGAUGCUAGUGAAUGUUUUAAAAAGGGAGUGACUGCUGGAGAGGGAACAUAUAGAGAAUAUGGUGCAUACUGUUUAGACCAUAGUGGCUUCUUUGGGGUUCCUCCAACCAUUAUAGUGGAGUGUUCUAGCCUGCUGUUUGAUAAUGCAGCCGAGGGAACAAUAUGAAACUUGGCUCCUUGCGGAAGUUCAUUGAGAAUGAAGGAAGCUGUGAUGACAGGGGCCAGGUGAGGAGGUCCACAAAAUAGUAAUUUUGGACAUAAGGUUGGCUAAUACAGACCGCCACGCCGGAAAUAUACUAUGGGGCAAAGACCAAGAUGGCCAUACGUUUUUGGUGCUCAUUGAUCAUGGAAUGUCUACCCCGGAGAGUUUAAUUACUCUUUUCAAUUUGCUUUUUGAAGAUUACACUUGGAUCUGCUAAAUGGGAACCGUCCCCGAAGUCUGCCAGGAUACUAUGAAUUUCUACCAUACUCCUUCAAAAAGGAGCAGAGGCUGGAAGCACACCCAGAGACAUUGGACGAAUAAUUUGCAGUGAUUUUCUUGAUAAUAAGUCCGAGAUGGAGAAUAUGGUUGAGAAGGCAGAGAAAUCAAUGUCUAAUUGCUCAAAUGAAGAUGAAUUCAUGAAAUGUACAGCAAAGCUGUUGAAUGCCUAUUAAUUCCAAAAACUUAAACUUUCAAUGGAUUUUUAUUUGAUUUAUAUUUUUUUCUGAUAAAAGCUUCCAGAUAGGCACUUUAGCAUAACUCCUGACAAUCGGGUGAUAGCAGUUUUUUGUAAAUUUUUUCUUUUUUUUUUUGGGGUAAAUUGGCAUUUGUUGCAUAUAUAUGUACAUCUGGACUGUGUUAAAAAGUAAAUAAUAAAUAAUUUGUAAUUUUGUAUCAAA